Molecule: unclassified non-coding RNA, 189 nt
Filed under: uncultured fungus
Lineage: Eukaryota; Fungi
Description: sequence contains ITS1
Source: RNAcentral
UUAACUAUUAUAUAGUACUCAGACAUCACUAAAAACAUGAGUUGGGGUCCUCUGGCGGGCACUCACCAGCCGGAGCCGGUGGACGAAGCGGCCCGCCAAAAGCAACAAAGUGUAGAUUUCAAGGGUGGGAGAUCUACCCGUUAGGGCAUGAACUCUGUAAUGAUCCUUCCGCAGGUUCACCUACGGAAA